This 4070-nucleotide long non-coding RNA is filed under the name Helianthus annuus (common sunflower). RNAcentral's name for it is "hypothetical non coding rna". The record is from RNAcentral. Lineage: Eukaryota; Viridiplantae; Streptophyta; Magnoliopsida; Asterales; Asteraceae.
UCAAAACAUUCAUCUUUUUUAAACAAAAGACCUUUACCAGGACUUAGCUUAAGAUAUCUCAACAAUCUUAAAGCCACUUUAAGAUGUGAUUCACAAGGUCUAUGCAUAUACUGGCUUAAAAACUGUACAGCAUAACAGAUAUCUGGACGCGUCAAAGACAAGUAGAUCAGUUUUCCAAUUAACUUUUGAUAACCUGUUAUUUCAACUAACACUUCCUGUUUAUCCUCUAAAUCUUUAUUAAUAACAUGACUUAACUCAAUAGGUGUACCAACAGGUUUACAACCAAGAUAACCAAACUCAGCCAAGAGAUCCAAACAGUACUUUCGCUGAUUCAAACAAAUUCCAGAUUUAUCAUAAAUAACUUCUAAACCAAGGAAAUAUUUCAACACACCUAAAUCCUUGAUUUGAAAACUUUUACUAAGGAGACUUUUAAUUCUACUAAUUUCAACACCACUAUUCCCAGUUAUGACAAUAUCGUCAACAUACACAAGUAAAACUAUAAAGACAGAAUUCUUAUUCAAAACAUAUAAAGAAUGAUCACACUGACUCUGAACAAACCCAACAUCACACAAAACAUUAGUUAAUUUUUCAUUCCAUUUUCUCGGAGCUUGCUUUAAUCCAUACAAGGACUUGACUAACUUACACACUUUACCAUCAUUUUUAGAAUAAUAACCCUCGGGAAGAGUCAUAUACACAUCUUCUGUUAUUGACCCGUAAAGAAAUGCAUUAUUAACAUCUAGUUGGUAUAACACCCAACCUUUUUGAACAGCAAGACUCAAAACACAUCGAACAGUCACCAUUUUUACAACUGGUGAAAAUGUUUCACCAAAAUCAAUACCCUCCCGUUGGUUAUACCCCUUAGCUACUAACCUAGCUUUAUAACGUUCUAUUUCACCGUUAGCCUUGUAUUUAAUCUUAUAAACCCAUUUGCACCCAAUGGGUUUUCUAUUAGCAGGUAAGUCAACAAUAUUCCAAGUUUGAUUUCUAAGCAACGCUUCCAUUUCAACAUUCAUGGCUUCAACCCAUUUAGGGUCUUUCGAGGCCUCACCGAAACUACUCGGUUCAACAGAUUUAUUUAAACUACUUAUAAAGCACACAGAAUCAGCAGUCAAAUAAGAACAAUUAACAGUCUUAUUUAUAUCAUAUUUAACACAGCUAUUUAAAACAAAAUCUUGGAACCUUUUUGGAACCGAAACAACUCUAGAAGACCUUCUAAGGCCUUCUACAUUUCCCUCAGAUGGGCUGAUUUCAUCACUUGACACAGCAGUGUCCUCUGCCUCGCCAAACUCCACCCUAUUACUACCAUCUUCACUAGAUCCUAAGCUAUCUAGACCAGGAGUAGCAGAUGUAGAGGGAAUUGGCUGCUGAUCAUCACUGACUAUGUCAUGAAAAUCAGUAGCACCCUCUUCAUCAUUGGGAGUUAACAAAACUUCAGGUGUAUUUGCUUCAAUUUUAUCAAAAAAAUUUAUUAGAUUUAAACUGUUAUCAACCACAACAUUUUCAACAAUUUUAUUCGACUUAAAAGGGUAUACAUUCUCAUAAAACUUGACAUCUCUUGAGAAAAACACUUUUUUCUCAUCCAAACUCCACAAUUUAUACCCUUUUUUUACACUGGAAUAACCUAUUAACACACACUUAUCAGCAUGAUAAGCAAAUUUAUCCGAUUCAUUUAAAAUGGUACUAAAGCAAAGACACCCAAAAUUUCUAAGAUGAGACAAAGAGGGUUUAAAUUUAAACAUAACCUCAUAUGGACUCCUACCAUUUAACACAGAAGACGGAAGCCUGUUAACAAUAUACACAACAGUCAGAAUGCAAUCACUCCAAAACCUCAAGGGUAGACCACCCUGAAACAUCAAAGCUCUGGCUAUAUUUAAGAGAUGCCUAUGCUUCCGUUCAACCACCCCAUUUUGUUGUGGGGUGUAUGAACAUGAAGUCUGAUGUAUUAUACCUUUGGUUUUACAAAAUAAUGACAUUUGACUGUUAACAAACUCAGUUCCAUUGUUACUUCUAAAAAUUUUAACCUUCCUUUUAAACUGAGUUUGAACUAUUUCAUAAAAAUCUUUAAGAUUUUCAAACACUUCCAUUUUAUUUUUUAAAAGAAAACACCACACAGACCUUGAAAAAUCAUCAACCACAGUCAAGAAAUAUUUAAACCCUUCAUAACUAGUGACCUUAUACGGACCCCAUAAAUCUAAAUGAAUUAAAUCACCUACUUCCUUAGUCUUAUGUUCACUCAAAGGAAAUGGCACUCUUACUUGCUUAGACCUAUGACAAAUCUCACAAGGACUAUAACCUGAUCUGAGGGGUGGCCCAACCUACUAUGCCACAAAUCAGACUUAACAACACUAUUAAAACACAUAUUCACAACAUUACCAUCUUUUCCUACAAAAUACAGCCCAUUUUCUUGUUUACCAAUCACCAGGAUUUUCUUUGACUUCAAAUCCUGAAGCAUACAAUUAUUCUCAUUAAACAAUACAGUAAUGUUGUUAUCUUUAGCUAACUUAUGAACAGACAACAAGUUAACACUAUAUUCAGGCACAUAAAACACAUCCUUUAACACAACAUUAUUAAUCAAUCUUAGUUCCCCAAUUUUUAAAACACUCACACUAGUUCCAUUAGGGUGACCAACCUUUAAACCACAUUCAGACACAUCUAUACAGUUAAACAUAUUUUCAUCAUUUUUAACCAUAUGUUGAUUAGCACCAGAAUCAACAACCCAAUUAUGAUUAUGACUAAAAAUAGAACUACUAGAGCAACUAACAAAACUGUAAACACAUGAGGACAUACCUCCCAUAUUAGACUUCACCUGAUCUCCCUCAGGUUUAUCACCAACUAAACUUAUAAGCUUUGCAAUCUGUUCAGAAGUGAAAGGCAAAGCAGAAACAGCAGAACUAGAAGGACCAGUAGACACACUAGACUUAUUUGCAUUGUUACCACUAUUAUUUCUACCAAAAGUCCCACUAGAUCUUUUCCUCAUACCAGGAGGAUAUCCAAUUAUCUCAAAACAACGAUCAACAGUAUGACCAAUCAUAUUACAGUUAGUACACUUCAGAUUAGAAUUUGAUCCCCUAAAAUUGUUUCUUCUUCUAGAAUCAAAAUUCUGAUUUGAUUUAGCAACAAAUGACACAGACUGACUCUUUGACCCACUAUUUGAGAGUCUAUGUGACUCUUCUCUAGAAAUUAAAGCAUAAGCUGCUUUAACAGAAGGAAAUGGUUCUCUUGUCAACAACUGGGUUCUCACAGGUUGAUACACAUCAUCCAGACCCAUGAGAAACUGCAUUAGUUUAAUUAGAGUUGAAAAAUCAUUAUAGUCUUUGGCUGCCUGACAAGAACAUGAAGGCAGUUGCACCAUUGCAUCAAACUGCUUCCACAUAGUUGUCAGCUUGUUAUAAUAUUCAGCCACAGAACUACCAUUUUGAGAUAUACAGUUAAUUCUUUUAUACAAGUCAUAAACAACAGAACCAUCAACCUUAUCAUAGGUUUCUUUAAGGUCAAUCCAAACUUCAGAAGCAAGUCUAGAGAAAACUUGCCCUAAAAACAAUUCCUCAGAUACAGAAUUAAGUAACCAGGUUAAGACCACAGAGUUGCACCUAUCCCAUUGAGCAGCAAGCACAUCAUUAUCUUUAGGUUUCUCACAUUUACCAUUUAUAAACCCAAACUUAUUUUUUGCUUCCAGUGCAAGUUUCAUUGCACUGGACCAAACUGAGUAAUUUUCAGUACCUUUAAGUUUUAAAUUUACUAUGGUUAAAGCACUUGAGUCACUGGGAUGUAGGUAAAGUGGAUCCCCUAUGUCCAACUUGCUGAUAAGGGUAACAGAUGUACCCUCACCCCCAGUCAUGAAUCAAACAAUAACAACACAGAUAACACAAGCAACAACAAGCAACAGAUAGAACAAGAAACUAUCACAAAAAAUAGGCGAAGCUGAGUCAGGGACCAGAUUCCAGGUUCAUCACUCAGAGGUGCCUGGAAAAGCCUUUACUCAGGAGCCACACUAAGAACUAGACACACAACAAACAAUCAACAAUAACAAAUAAGGUGCCGGUCCUCACUACCCCGACUUCAACUAGCCA